This is an RNA transcript of Carica papaya (papaya), 5072 nucleotides long. RefSeq lists it as uncharacterized. The record is from RefSeq and is a predicted model, not a curated record. NCBI's taxonomy places the organism in Eukaryota, Viridiplantae, Streptophyta, Magnoliopsida, Brassicales, Caricaceae.
AGAGAGGGGGCCGAACCCAAAUGAAGAACAAUUGGAUUGGGGCAUUUUGCAAGACAGACGAACGAUCCAGCCUGUUCGGUGCUGUCAAUAGGUAUUGAGAGGCUAGGGUUUAUAAAUGCAUCGCUAACCACAAGAGAUCGAACGAGCCGCCGCUUCCGAGUUAGCUGUGGUUUCAUAGAAUCUUACCAGAGAGAUGGAUGCUAUGAAACCUCUUGCGAAACCGUUAGAGAAAAGAAGAUGACGACGACGACGAAGAUGAAGGAAGCGUCAUGAAUCGUGAAGAUGCAGUCCUUUCGUCAAGUCAGUGAUCAACCAAGAUAAUCUCGUCUCUUGGGUGAGCGUCCUUUUAAUCUUUUAUUACUAUGCUUUUGCACUUGAUUUGGAUUGCGUCACGAUCGGUUGAAGCGGGAGUUGAGGAAAACAAGAGAAAUUUUUUGAUCUUUCAUUUCAAUCACUGGUUGUUUGGGUCAAGCAAUGAACUUUGCUAAAAAAAUUAUCCAGCACUUUUUACAAUAAGCUUUAUGCACUCUUUAAAAAUGGCCCAAAACUGGAGGACGCUGAACAAUCCCCAACCAAAACCUUCGCCAGCCAUUCACAAAAUUUUUUUUUCGUUCCAAAGAAAAUUGUGUGAAUGGCUUGCGAAAGUUUGGGUUGGGGAUGAGGAGUGAUGCUGGUAACUGAAAUUCUCUUAAGGUUAUAUGCUGCAAACUCUCUUUCUUGAUCAACUAGCGAGUGAUGUCAAUACAGUAACUGUACUAAACCGGAGGAGGUUGAGCAAUUCUGUGAAUGGCUUGCAAAGGUUUUGAUUGGGGAUGAGGAGUGAUGCUAGUAACUGAAAUUCUCUUCAGGUUAUACACUGCGAACUCUCUUUCUUGAUCAACUAACGAGUGAUGUCAAUACAGUAAACCGUACUAAACCGGGGAAGGUUGAACAAUUCUGUGAAUGGCUUACAAAGGUUUUGGUUGGGGAUGAGGAGUGAUGCUAGUAACUGAAUUCUCUUCAGGUACUUUUGUUUUGCUGCAGACUACAUAGACAAGUGGAAGGAAAGAUUCAUACCAGGAAGGACUUUUAUGCUGCCUAUCAAUUGAAGUAUGAUCCACAGCAGAGCUAGAAGAAUAGAGGACACAGACUUUCAUACCAUAGUAAACCCAAAUAAACGUGCAUUUGAUUAUGUUAUCAAUAGCAUAUACAGACUCCGUAUCAUACAAUGGAGGAGAUCAUGCGUCUCCUUGUUUUUCAUGUUUAUUUUAUUAAGAAUUUUCUAAAAGACUUUUUCUGGAAGGCUGGAUAAACUAGCUUCUUGUUCGUUAUAGCAAAUGGAUGUUGAUAAUUUCUUGUGCUUAUCUGGAUGAUAUGAUGUCAGAACAGGUUCAUUGAGAAUUAGUAUUCCAGAUGGAGGAAUACAGAUUGCAGUAUAUCUUAGGAAUUUGGACCUUAAAGAGGAAAAGGAUUCUAGUCUCAGCUGAGUUUCCGGGGAAUCAUGUUUGCGACAUGAAUUGGAGGCAAGUUAAUGGAAGAGGUAAUAUUUGCUGGCUGAGUUCUGCAACGUUCACAUCCUAUAUCUACUUUUCUUAUUGUAUGAUAAAAUGAUGAAGAAUCACUGAUUAGUUUUUCAUGAUUCAUAAAGAAGAUUACAUGAAUAUGAUUUGAAAUUUAACCUGAUCAUGAUCUCCAAAAAAAAAUAUAUAUAACAUUCACAGAAUUGUACAGCCAAAACUAUUUUCCACUUAAAGUUGUUUUUCCAGAAGUCAUUUUUAAAGCAUUUUAUCUUUUUCCUCACAGCACAAGCAUCAGAUUUGUGUCAAAUGGACCCUAAGUAAAUUAAUAAAAUAACAAAACAGUUUUUAUCCAAAUCCAACAUUUUCUUUUCUUAUCACUGACUUUAUUGGUUAAAUGUUUUUCUCUAACUGUGUUUUCUUGGUAUUGAUCUUCUUCAUCUUUUUCUUUCCAGUUGUAUGUCAUUUCUCCAUCUUGGGGUCGAAUGGGUUAAGGUUAGGGUUAUGGAAUGUUUUCAUCAAUUGACUUCCCCCCCUCUUUUAACGAUAUAUUAUAUCUUAUUCUUGCUUAUAUUGCUACCAUAAUUGUAUAAUCUAUGUUGUGCCUUGUUCUGGUAGUCUUUACUUUGCUGUUCUCUAGUGGGCUUUAUAAAUUACAACUUGACAAAUUAGUUUGUUAUGUUUGGCAUUGUGAAUUUUCUUUCUUUGAUAUUCUUCCCUUGUGAAAUUAAUUAGAGUAAGCAUACAAGUAAAGUUCUCUUUGUGUAUAUUGGAUAAUCAAUUUCAUGCUUUUAAUGCUUAAUUACGUUGGUGGUUCAUUUAUAAAAAGUUUUUUUCAAUGAAAUUGCUUUGCUCAAGAAUGGAUUCAAACCUGAAGUGUUGAUUUCUUGUCACAAUCUUCUUUGGCAAAUAAUGAAUGUCCUUUUCAUUGUGAGAGAUGCAAUUGAAUUCCUUCAAGCUUAAUUGUGUUGAGAGCUUCUUUCUUUGGUAGUCUUUACGACAUAUUCGUGUUGAGGCAAAUGGUUUGAAAAGUAUUAUAUAGGAAGUAAGUCCUAGUGCUAUGUUUAGAACAAAAGAACAUCACUUGAGGAAGUCAUUUAGAAAACCACUCUUUGAUUCAUUAAGGAAUAGUCAAAAUUGUAUUUAAAUGAUAAAUUGACAUUUAGGAAAAUUUUAUAUGAAAGCGGACUAAUCAAUUUUGAAUUCCAUGAAAAUUGAUAGAAUUUAGAAUUCGUUGUUUUAAUAUUACUUGGAAUUCAUAGGAGGUAAACUUUUAUUAUCUUUCAAUAAUAUUUUCAUUUUCCCAUAGUCAAAGUAAGUGUGGAUUUUCUAAUAAAUUCAACAAAUAGUUAAUUUGUUCCAAAUAUAGCAUGAGUUUAUUAUUUAUUUCUUAGUGCAGAGUGUUCUUAAUUCUAUCCUUUAGCAUGCUGCCUAAGAAAUGAUACAAAAUUGAGAAUCAACGUACUUGUAUAAUAUUCUUUAUUUCCAAUGUUUUAUUUUCUUUCCCUUUCUCUAUAUUUAGUUCACCUUGCAAAGGCUACGAAUUUAUUAUUCCAUUGUGCACAUUUAUUUUUCACUUAACAUGAAAAGUUCAUCCUUUAGCUUCAGUGGGAUAUGAAAAUUGCUUUUCACUGUAAUACUGGAGUAAUUCCAUUAACUUAAGUGUGGUGUGAAAAUUGCUCCUCAUCAUAGUACUUGAAUAGUUUAUCUUCCUAAUGACAAUUUCUUUUUUGAUAUAUCUAAAUCAUAAAAUUAGCAGACCUCAGGAGACUUCAUUUCUUUUAUGCAAAUGUUGGGAGAGCAAGUGAUGCACUCAUCUCUGAAGGAAAUUUCAACGUAGAAUAUGAAGAUAGACUAAGCAGCUUACCAGAAGAGCUUCUCAAGCAUGCAUUGUCAAAAAGUGGAGAUACAUCUAUGUGUCUCUUCCUAAUUUUGUAUUUGAUUCCUUACAAUUUGCUGGUGCUGAAAGUAGACUUGAUUAUUUUGAGGAGUUCAUAUAACAAACGCUGUUGCAUCGUGAUGACAAAGACAUACCAACCAUCAAAUUCAAAUUAUGUAGAGGAAGAGCACACACCAUUUUAAAGACCAAAUGGAUUGAUUUUGCUUUGAAGCAUAAUGUUGAAGAUCUCGUCUUUGAAGCUCCUUUUUUUUAAUAAAGAUGGUUUGGUUCUUGUGUCUUUUCCUCCAGAACAUAGAAAAGAUCUCAUUUAUCUUCCCAGUCUUAGAUAAUUGCAUCUCGGAGGUGUCAUUUUCACUGAUGGGUGAUUUGACGUGGGAAUGAUUCUCAUCAUGUCCAGUUUUGGAAUCCGUGCAAUUGAGGAAUUGUGGUCUGUCUUUUUUAAAGGUUCUAAAUAUCUAUGCUCUCAGACGCAAAUAUCUUCAUAUAGACUCUUGUCGUUGGCUCAAGAACAUUGAGAUCGAUCUUCAUACCUGAAAUCUCAAAUCACUUAUAUUAAGAUGAAAUCUUGCACAAAACUAUCAUAUUAAGGACAGUCUUUCUAUUCAUUAUGCACAUAUUCAAGGAACAGUUUAUAGAAACAAAAUGAGUAUAGAUGUUCUUAGUUGCACUGUAUUUAAGUUGCUGACUGAACUCUGUAAUGAUGAUGUAGUAGCUGUGGAUAACUUGUCCUGGGAGGUAUAUGCUUUGUCCAUUUCUUCUUCUUAUUGAUUGUUCUUUCUUUUUUGCUAAUUACUUGAUAUUUUUAAUGCAGCCUCUAACCUUUUCUUUUAAAAAAAAUACAAGUAACCAAUGACAUUCCUUCAUGUUGCAGCUCCUUUUCUACAAGGCAAGUAAUUCAUUGAUAUAUGCAAAUGCAAUUACUUUUCAAAGCCUGAGCAAUGUAUAUCUGCCUGUCUGGCCAUCCAAGAAACAUAUACAGAUGAUCAUGGUCCUCCGUGGUAGAAUGCCAAAUGUACGUAGCACGUACUUUUUAAUGCUUUUGAGUUCCUAAACUCUGAUUCUCUUCAUAUCUAACUCAUAUUUAUUAGCCACUAUCAUUUGAGACAGCAGAUUUUUAAUUGUUAAAAUCUUUGUUUGCUAUAGUUAUUAUUAUUAUUAUUUUUCUUUUGUGAACUUUAUUAGAUGUGCAGGCACAAGAACAGUAUUUAUACAUGUCGACUUUUGAAUGGAAUUCAGAGAACCUUGAGACUGUCGGGAUGCCAAGCAUUGUGGAAUAUAUUUACACUAACAUGUUUGUUGGAUGUGAGAUCGAUCUUCUCCUGGUGAAAGUUUUCCUUUGAGAAUGCAAAAGCAUUAGUGAAGUUGACCAUCUCUACCUUUCAGAAUGGUACUGAAGCUGAUGAUGGAAAGAGGUCUAAGAUUAUUGAGAAGUUAUUGUCAUUUUCAAGAGCUUCAACAAAAACAAAAAUACUUUUCUUGUAAUUUAAAUUUAGUUUCGGAAAAGAGGUUAUGACAUUUGUGCUGCUUAUUUUCAACUAGCAAGGGGGUUCUCAUAUUUGUUAUUUGAGUUUCGUAUGUCUGCACUUAAGUUAACGAGGUGCCCUUGCUGAAAUUGGUUGAGAGAUUCUUGGGUAAAUUCUUUUCUUGGCAAUACAUAAAGUAAACAUUUCUGCUUA